GACGAACGCUGGCGGCGUGCUUAACACAUGCAAGUCGAACGGUAAGGCUCCAGCUUGCUGGGGUACACGAGUGGCGAACGGGUGAGUAACACGUGGGUGACCUGCCCUGCACUUCGGGAUAAGUCUGGGAAACUGGGUCUAAUACCGGAUAGGACCGCACCGUGAGGGUGUGGUGGAAAGUUUUUUCGGUGUGGGAUGGGCCCGCGGCCUAUCAGCUUGUUGGUGGGGUAAUGGCCUACCAAGGCGGCGACGGGUAGCCGGCCUGAGAGGGUGGACGGCCACAUUGGGACUGAGACACGGCCCAGACUCCUACGGGAGGCAGCAGUGGGGAAUAUUGCACAAUGGGCGGAAGCCUGAUGCAGCGACGCCGCGUGGGGGAUGACGGCCUUCGGGUUGUAAACUCCUUUCACCAUCGACGAAGGGUUUCUGACGGUAGAUGGAGAAGAAGCACCGGCUAACUACGUG
RNAcentral lists this ribosomal RNA (465 nucleotides) under uncultured bacterium. RNAcentral's name for it is "partial 16S ribosomal RNA". It matches the Rfam family "Bacterial small subunit ribosomal RNA", at positions 28 to 507 of the family's 1533-position model. The record is from RNAcentral.